GACCUUACUUGAACAGGAUCUGUUCUAUAGGCUCGUACCAUUGCAUCCUUGAUUUCUAAGGAGACAGGAAACCAAGUCUGGUGGAUGAAUCAUUGCCAUUAGACUAGAGCGUGAUUAAACAGCACCAGUGCCCCGUUGGGGCUCAUGGGUGCGGUAGAUGAUCGUUCUCAGCUACUACAAUCAUGGUGCCUGAGAUGGUCUAAUGGUUAUCUGACAGACUCUUCCAAAACCUUUUUUUCUUCUUUUUGUUGGUGUUUUGGCAUUACCCUGCUCUGGUUUUUGAAGAUAAGCAAGGCUCCCCAUGGCUUCUGGGCUCAGAGCUGCGAUAAUCGCUACAAUUCUUUUCUUGCAGCUGAACCUAUGAAAUUUCAGAUCUUCCCUUCUCCCUUACUUUUCUUAAUUUCAAAGAAUCAAUUUUGCUUUAUUGUAUUUGUUCUUUUCUUUUUUCUUUUUAUAUAGCCCAAAUGAAUUGUCGAUUUAGCCAAAUUGAAUUUUUACUAAGGAAUUCGGCUAAAAUAUAGAUAAGACGAAUUAAUAUAAUUUAUUAAUAAUCUUAUUAAUCUUUAAAAAAAAAAUUAAUUUAAAUAUAAACUAGUGAUUCAAAAAUAAAACUAUAACUUAAACUAAACUAAUUUAAUUAAAUACUUACUAAAAUUAAAAUCUGCUUGAGAUGAUUUUCAAAUAUUUACGAAAUAUACCAAUUAUAUUUAUAAACUAUAUAAAAACAUAUUUACUAAUUAUAAAUUAUAAAAAAUCGAUUAAGAUUACUUAAAAUGACUUUAAGAAGUAUUUGAAUUUUAUAAAAUAAAUUAUUCUAAAUUGUUUGGAAAUUAAGAAGCUGAAUAACUUUCACGUUUUCACAAGUGGGUUCAUUCAAAUUCUUUGAGAUUGCAUCUACCAAACGCAUUUUACAGUGUCGAAAAUAAUUUUUAUUGUCUCUUGCUAAAUGUUUGUUGUCUAAACAAGGAUUCAAAAAUAUAGCAUUCAAAACAUUUAUCUUUGUUGGAUCAGUUUGUUCCACUUCAUAACAUUCUAAUAUUCUACGAUGAAAUCUGUUAAGACAAUAUAUUUUGAAAGCUCUUAUUAUCCCAGUAUAUUUUGUACUUUAUGUAUAAUAUUUUGUACUUUACGUAUAAUAUUUUUUAAUUUUUAUGUGAAAUCUAUAAAAUGAUACAUAAAUUAAUAAUAAUAUAUAAUGAUUUUAAUAUAAUCAAAAAUUAACUUUCAUUAAAUCUCAAAUCAUUCUUUAAAUAAAUAAAUAUAAUAAAUAUUAAUUUAGCGAUUAAAUAAUAUCUCUAUAAAAUAAUAAAAUUUCAUGAUUCUCAUUCUUUAAAUUAAUAAAUAUUAAUUUAGCGAUUAAAUAAUAUUUCUAUAAAAUAAUAAAAUUUCAUGAUUCCACCUAUAUUAAUUUAUAGAGGUUUUAGCGAGCGUACUCAUAAAAGGCGACGAUGGUGAGGUUUUAAUCAGAUAAAAUGUAUUCAAAACUUUCUGCAAAGCGAGCUUCAUCCCAUUAUAUCAUUAUGCAUCAAUUUUUGGUCAAUUUUGUAUAUACAUCUUUCAAAUCAUUAAGGUCAUUCUUAUAUAUUUCUCUGUUAAUGAAAGAAAACAUUUCAUCAAAAUUAUUUUAGGAAUACAAAGAAUAAAUC
RNAcentral lists this long non-coding RNA (1646 nucleotides) under Solanum lycopersicum (tomato). RNAcentral describes it as "long non-coding RNA (SLYC_LNC001077)". The stretch from base 1 to 220 matches the Rfam family "Plant small nucleolar RNA U3". Lineage: Eukaryota; Viridiplantae; Streptophyta; Magnoliopsida; Solanales; Solanaceae. The record is from RNAcentral.